Populus trichocarpa (black cottonwood) is the source of this 291-nucleotide long non-coding RNA. RefSeq lists it as uncharacterized. Lineage: Eukaryota; Viridiplantae; Streptophyta; Magnoliopsida; Malpighiales; Salicaceae. The transcript is spliced from 3 exons. The record is from RefSeq and is a predicted model, not a curated record.
UUAAAAUUAGUAAACCCAAAUAAGCCUUGGAAUUAUUAAGUGGAGGAACACAAUCGGGUGGAAGAAUUAACAAGAAGAAAAGUGAAGAGUUGGUGAAGAAAAGAGGGGGAAGAGUGGCUGACUACAUACAAGGAGAAGAAGGCUAAGAUUCUUCUAAAAAUUUGUGAAGUAAAGUUUAGAUUUCCAUCCAAGAGGAACCGCAGGAGGAGUACAGCAACCACAGGGGAACGCAAGUCGAGCGUCUACAGCAGGUCCCUCCCAUUCACGUCAGGAAUAGAUUUUAAGUUUUUU